Molecule: unclassified non-coding RNA, 253 nt
Filed under: uncultured Gammaproteobacteria bacterium
Lineage: Bacteria; Pseudomonadati; Pseudomonadota; Gammaproteobacteria
Description: contains 16S-23S intergenic spacer region
Rfam family: Bacterial small subunit ribosomal RNA
Source: RNAcentral
UACAGAGGGUGCAAGCGUUAAUCGGAAUUACUGGGCGUAAAGCGUGCGUAGACGGUUAUGUAAGUCGGAUGUGAAAGCCCCGGGCUCAACCUGGGAAUUGCAUUCGAGACUGCAUAGCUAGGAUGCGGAAGAGGGAAGUGGAAUUUCCGGUGUAGCGGUGAAAUGCGUAGAUAUCGGAAGGAACACCAGUGGCGAAAGCGACUUCCUGGUCCAGCAUCGACGUUCAGGCACGAAAGCGUGGGGAGCAAACAGG